UUUCACCUGGCCAUUGGAAGCCAAUGCCUUUGGAAGAGUGUGCUUCAGAUAGUCUGCAUGCUGCUGGUGCGGUGCUCUGCACAGCUGCAAAUACGCACAUGUUCGGUGUCUGCUUUUGCAUUUCUCUGAUGUUUCUGUAGGAAUAUUCCGCAGCAAUUUCCUACAAUCCUACACUCCUACAGUUUCCUACACUCAUGUGGACAGACUGUUAAGUAUGAAUCUCAGAUGCUAUGAAAAAUUCCCUGGUAUAGCCACCAAAAGGGAAGUAGAGAGGGUAAGAGGUAAGGGAGAAAAGUGAUAUUACAGUUGAAAAAGUUUUUUUCAAUCCUGCAGGCUGCGGGAAAGAUUGUUGUUAAUGGAGCGUUACAGUCUUCUGAGAACAUCCCCUCUCCCCAAAAUAUUUCUUGGAAGUUAUUAAGGGUGUUUGGUAUGUCUUUGCAUUUAGGCUGUACGGCGCUUGUACGGCUGAUUUAGGAACACUGACUCCUGCAUCAGAACAAAAGGACAGACCCUAAACGUUGGUUUAACCCAUUACCCUUUACUUGGCACAGGAGUGAUGCAAGGUAACCAUCUAUAAUGACAUGUCAGAUACAAGUUGUCCUGACCUGAUGAUUUUAAACUGUCUGAUGUUGAUAGCUACUUCUUACCAUUCUUACUGCCUGGCUCCCUGUUUAGUUACUGUUUGGCUGAAAGUAUUUUGACAAUGAUGAUGUAGUAUCAGUUCAUUAACUCCUUUUUUCUCUGUGCUAAGGAGAGCCUGGGAGAGGGGCAAAGUCCAGCAGCUGCCCAGCGUGCGCUGGGGCAGGGCGAUGCACGCUGGGGUGAGCAGGAGAAGGGCCAUCCUGACAUUGCGUGUCUAAUCUAAUCUGGGCCAUAAUCAUUUCCUACUGGCUCAGCUUCAGUCACAUCGUUAGCCUGAUGCUGAAAUUAGAUCCAGCAUGCCAGCGAUGUUCGUUUUCCUACCAUGGCCGUGUCAUCCGGCUGUGCUUCCUGCACGCUGCCUCGGCUCGCA
Molecule: long non-coding RNA, 1012 nt
Filed under: Dromaius novaehollandiae (emu)
Lineage: Eukaryota; Metazoa; Chordata; Aves; Casuariiformes; Dromaiidae
Description: lncRNA (ENSDNVG00000008556.1)
Source: RNAcentral